This 428-nucleotide ribosomal RNA is filed under the name Chlamydia psittaci. Its description in RNAcentral is "bacterial SSU rRNA". It matches the Rfam family "Bacterial small subunit ribosomal RNA", at positions 64 to 474 of the family's 1533-position model. The record is from RNAcentral. Lineage: Bacteria; Pseudomonadati; Chlamydiota; Chlamydiia; Chlamydiales; Chlamydiaceae.
UUACGGAAUAAUGACUUCGGUUAUUAUUUAGUGGCGGAAGGGUUAGUAAUACAUAGAUAAUCUGUCCUCAACUUGGGAAUAACGGUUGGAAACGACCGCUAAUACCGAAUGUGGUAUGUUUAGGCAUCUAAAACAUAUUAAAGAAGGGGAUCUUCGGACCUUUCGGUUGAGGGAGAGUCUAUGGGAUAUCAGCUUGUUGGUGGGGUAAUGGCCUACCAAGGCUUUGACGUCUAGGCGGAUUGAGAGAUUGACCGCCAACACUGGGACUGAGACACUGCCCAGACUUCUACGGAAGGCUGCAGUCGAGAAUCUUUCGCAAUGGACGAAAGUCUGACGAAGCGACGCCGCGUGUGUGAUGAAGGCUCUAGGGUUGUAAAGCACUUUCGCUUGGGAAUAAGAGAGAUUGGCUAAUAUCCAAUCGAUUUGAG